Molecule: ribosomal RNA, 301 nt
Filed under: uncultured bacterium
Lineage: Bacteria
Description: partial 16S ribosomal RNA
Rfam family: Bacterial small subunit ribosomal RNA
Source: RNAcentral
CAGUAGCCGCGGGAAUACGUAGGUGGCAAGCGUUGUCCGGAAUUAUUGGGCGUAAAGGGCUCGCAGGCGGUUUCUUAAGUCUGAUGUGAAAGCCCCCGGCUCAACCGGGGAGGGUCAUUGGAAACUGGGAAACUUGAGUGCAGAAGAGGAGAGUGGAACUCCACGUGUAGCGGUGAAAUACGUAGAGAUGUGGAGGAACACCAGUGGCGAAGGCGACUCUCUGGUCUGUAACUGACGCUGAGGAGCGAAAGCGUGGGGAGCGAACAGGAUUAGAUACCCCCGUAGUCCCUGUCUCUUAUAC